ACGGGUGAGUAACACGUAGGUAACCUGCCUAUAAGAUCGGGAUAACUAUCGGAAACGAUAGCUAAGACCGGAUAAUUGGUUUUCUCGCAUGAGAGAAUUAUGAAACACGGAGCAAUCUGUGGCCUAUAGAUGGGCCUGCGGCGCAUUAGCUAGUUGGUAGGGUAAUGGCCUACCAAGGCGACGAUGCGUAGCCGACCUGAGAGGGUGACCGGCCACACUGGGACUGAGACACGGCCCAGACUCCUACGGGAGGCAGCAGUAGGGAAUCUUCCGCAAUGGACGCAAGUCUGACGGAGCAACGCCGCGUGAGUGAUGAAGGUUUUCGGAUCGUAAAGCUCUGUUGCCCUAGACGAACAGCAAGGAGAGUAACUGCUCUUUGUGUGACGGUAUAGGAGAAGAAAGCCCCGGCUAACUACGUGCCAGCAGCCGCGGUAAUACGUAGGGGGCAAGCGUUGUCCGGAAUUAUUGGGCGUAAAGCGCGCGCAGGCGGUCAAUUAAGUUGGGUGUUUAAGCCCGGGGCUCAACCCCGGUUCGCAUCCAAAACUGGUUGACUUGAGUGUAGGAGAGGAAAGUGGAAUUCCACGUGUAGCGG
This 592-nucleotide ribosomal RNA is filed under the name uncultured bacterium. Its description in RNAcentral is "bacterial SSU rRNA". It matches the Rfam family "Bacterial small subunit ribosomal RNA", at positions 102 to 681 of the family's 1533-position model. The record is from RNAcentral.